CGCCAUCAAACCGGGGAAACUCCAGUCGUGUGACACGAGGUAUCACCAUCAUAGAGUUCUCCAUAGAAGGAACCAAUGUCCUUUCCUUGAAAGGAGUAGGAAGAAGGGGGCGAUUUUUAUCGGAACUGGAGGCGGAUGUAUCUACGGACGGUGCUUGCGGUUGCACAUCCAUUUUUGUGUUCAUAGCGAUAAUUAAAUUUUUAAGAUCGUUAAUGGAAUCGCUAAUGGACUUUACCUCGGUCUCCAGUUUGUUUAAUCGAAUAUCAACGUUGUUCAUUUCCUCCCUUCGUACGAACUCUCCGUCCAUCUUUCGUAAUAAUUUCCGUUGUGCUCAAGUCAGGACCAUACAAGCUCUGAUACCAAAUGGUACGGUCCUACCGUAUUAAUAGGGAUAAACGAUCACUUCGAGGGGAUCGAACCUCCUAAAAAAUUGAGAAGUAGAGAGAAGAGGUAGAAAGAGAAGACAAGAUAUGAGAAAAAAGAGACAAUAUUACUUUCUUAUUUCUUGUAACUCCGGAUUACAUUAUAUAGAGUCCAAAUCCUUAAACUACUCCUAAUCAUAUCUAAUAAAUCUAUUCCCAAACAAGAUAACCGUCUAUUCCUAAAUAUAUUCCUAAAUAACAAAAUAUUUAAAUUUAAACUUGUUUAUUAAAAAGAAACUAUUAAAAAGAA
RNAcentral lists this long non-coding RNA (672 nucleotides) under Ananas comosus (pineapple). RNAcentral describes it as "long non-coding RNA (ACOM_LNC026762)". Lineage: Eukaryota; Viridiplantae; Streptophyta; Magnoliopsida; Poales; Bromeliaceae. The record is from RNAcentral.